GGACUUAGGCUAUGUGCCUCGGACACAAAAAUUACAAAGGUUCAACUACGGUUGAACAACAACUCAGGCUAUGUGCCUUCGCCCAAAAGUUCAACUAUGAGUUGAAAUAGGACUCAGGCUAUGUGCCUUCGACAUCAAAAAAUUACAAAGGUUCAACUACGGUUGAGCAACAGCUCAGGCUACGUGAUGUCGCCCAAAAGUUCAACUAUGAGUUGAACUGGGACUCAGGCUAUGUGCCUUCGACAACAAAAUUACAGAGGUUCAACUAUGAGUUGAACUGGGACACAGGCUAUGUGCCUUCGACAACAAGAAUUGCAAAGGUUCAACUCUUGUUGAACAAUAACUCAGGCUACGUGCCCUCGCCCAAAAGUUCAACU
This 377-nucleotide long non-coding RNA is filed under the name Nicotiana benthamiana. RNAcentral's name for it is "long non-coding RNA (NBEN_LNC022227)". Lineage: Eukaryota; Viridiplantae; Streptophyta; Magnoliopsida; Solanales; Solanaceae. The record is from RNAcentral.